AAGAGAAUGACUGAUCAUUCGGUUUGAUGUUCUUCGGAGGAGAAUUUAGCGAACAGGGAGAGUCGGUGUUUGUGGAUCCACCCCAUAACAUCUGCACACUCGACACAUAGAGUGUAUGCAACCCUGUUUGAAGAGCUGCGGGAGCAUCCUGGCAAGUUUUUGACUAUUUAUAAAUGUCGAUGGUCAGUUUGGAAGAACUGCACCAGAGGGUGUCAGGGAGGAUCCAAUGUCAGGACACCACUUUCUGCUGAAGUAUUUCUCCAAAGGUACCUGGCCACUGGAGAAAGCUUUGCCUCCCUCCACUUCCAGUUUCUCCUGGGGAAGUCAACAAUCUCCUGUAUGUGGGACACUUGCAAGGCUUUGUGGGGCUGUCUGCAAGAGGGCUGGGCAUAAUGAUGGGGCUGGGCAUAGGGCUGGGGCUGGGCAUAGGGCUGGGGUUGGGGCUGGAAGGGGGGGGGGGAGUUCAGACAUUUUGUCAAUGACAGU
Long non-coding RNA from Hyla sarda, 486 nucleotides. RefSeq lists it as uncharacterized. The record is from RefSeq and is a predicted model, not a curated record. Lineage: Eukaryota; Metazoa; Chordata; Amphibia; Anura; Hylidae. The transcript is spliced from 3 exons.